This 366-nucleotide ribosomal RNA is filed under the name uncultured bacterium. Its description in RNAcentral is "partial 16S ribosomal RNA". It matches the Rfam family "Bacterial small subunit ribosomal RNA", at positions 355 to 713 of the family's 1533-position model. The record is from RNAcentral.
UGGGGAAUUUUGGACAAUGGGCGAAAGCCUGAUCCAGCAAUGCCGCGUGUGUGAAGAAGGCCUUCGGGUUGUAAAGCACUUUUGUCCGGAAAGAAAUCCUUGGCUCUAAUACAGUCGGGGGAUGACGGUACCGGAAGAAUAAGCACCGGCUAACUACGUGCCAGCAGCCGCGGUAAUACGUAGGGUGCAAGCGUUAAUCGGAAUUACUGGGCGUAAAGCGUGCGCAGGCGGUUUGCUAAGACCGAUGUGAAAUCCCCGGGCUCACCUGGGAACUGCAUUGGUGACUGGCAGGCUAGAGUAUGGCAGAGGGGGGCUAGAAUUCCACGUGUAGCAGUGAAAUGCGUAGAGAUGUGGAGGAAUACCGAU